This 844-nucleotide ribosomal RNA is filed under the name uncultured Acidobacteriota bacterium. RNAcentral describes it as "bacterial SSU rRNA". It matches the Rfam family "Bacterial small subunit ribosomal RNA", at positions 58 to 905 of the family's 1533-position model. Lineage: Bacteria; Pseudomonadati; Acidobacteriota. The record is from RNAcentral.
CAAGUCGAGUGCGCGCCUGUAGCAAUACAGGUGGCGCACGGCGCACGGGUGCGUAACACGUGGGUAAUCUGCCCUCUGAUGGGGAAUAACCCGCCGAAAGGCGGGCUAAUACCGCAUAACAUUCCUUGGAUUUCGGUCCGGGGACUCAAAGGCGUAAGUCGUCGGAGGAGGAGCCCGCGCACGAUUAGCUAGUUGGUAGGGUAAUGGCCUACCAAGGCUUUGAUCGUUAGCUGGUCUGAGAGGAUGGCCAGCCACACUGGAACUGAGACACGGUCCAGACUCCUACGGGAGGCAGCAGUGGGGAAUCUUGCACAAUGGGCGAAAGCCUGAUGCAGCGACGCCGCGUGGGGGAUGAAGCAUUUCGGUGUGUAAACCCCUUUCGAUCCGGACGAAUACCUCGCAAGAGGGGUGACGGUACGGAUAUAAGAAGCCCCGGCUAACUACGUGCCAGCAGCCGCGGUAAGACGUAGGGGGCCAGCGUUGUUCGGAAUUACUGGGUGUAAAGGGUUCGUAGGCGGUGUGGCAAGUUGGGAGUGAAAUCUCUGGGCUCAACCCAGAGGCUGCUUCCAAAACUGCUGUGCUUGAGUGUGAGAGAGGCGCGUGGAAUUGCAGGUGUAGCGGUGAAAUGCGUAGAUAUCUGCAGGAACACCCGUGGCGAAAGCGGCGCGCUGGAUCACUACUGACGCUGAGGAACGAAAGCUAGGGGAGCAAACAGGAUUAGAUACCCUGGUAGUCCUAGCCCUAAACGAUCAGGACUUGGGGUGCCACCCGUUCGGGUGUCGUCCCGGAGCUAACGCGUUAAGUCCUGCACCUGGGGAGUACGGUCGCAAGACUGAAACUCAAA